This 86-nucleotide transfer RNA is filed under the name Candidatus Omnitrophota bacterium. Its description in RNAcentral is "tRNA-Phe". It matches the Rfam family "tRNA". From Rfam's summary of the family: Transfer RNA (tRNA) molecules are approximately 80 nucleotides in length. Lineage: Bacteria; Pseudomonadati; Candidatus Omnitrophota. The record is from RNAcentral.
GCCGAGAUAGCUCAGUGGUAGAGCGCGGCCCUGAAAAGGCCGGCGUGGGGGGUCAGAGUGUGUUUAAUCGUUUUCUUCCUUUGGCA